This 1652-nucleotide long non-coding RNA is filed under the name Homo sapiens (human). RNAcentral describes it as "HSALNT0125607". Lineage: Eukaryota; Metazoa; Chordata; Mammalia; Primates; Hominidae. The record is from RNAcentral.
CGGACCCCGGCCAAUCCCCCAGAUCUCCCCCGGGACCCCCCACCCCGCAGCCCACCCACCCGAGCGCACAGCUCCUCACCUGAGGGGCCCAGUCGCGUCGGGCCUCCCGAGGGGGCUGCGAGUGUCAGUCGGCUCUCCGCACGUGUCCGCGGCCUCGCGGAGCAGUCCACCCCUGGCUGGUUUCUGCUUCCACCUGCUGAUCUCACAGAGGUGAGGUGAUAACAGUGAUGAAACAAAAUCUUCAAACCACAGCACACUUGAUUUUGACACAAAGCAAGAUACUGAACAUUAACACCACCACAGAGGCCUACUAUGUGCUCCUGUCCCUGUUGUUACUUCCUCCAAAGCACUGCAAGCUAUUUGGCAUAUGAAGGUCUUGACCUGAGAAAACCAUCUUGGAUAACUGCAGCAAGGAAAAGGAAAAAUGCAACACCUAGGAGAUUUCAGUAAACAGUAGAAUCAUGCCAACCUAAUCUGUGUUAAAAUGCUUGGAAUGUGGGAGCCGCUGAUGAUGCCUCUUGUCUGUGUGUCUGACUGAAUCCUUUCUUUUCUCAGAGCAGCAAAGCAAAGCCUGGGAACCAGGCCAAAUGCCUGCCACUUACCUUAAAUUGAUCAGCCACUUUGAGAUUAAAACCCCUGAAAGCUGCCACACCGUGAAAACAAGGCCUCCUUCACAUUAAAGGCAAAUUGCGACUUUGGGUUUGCUGUGAUCUUUUUUCCAUUUUAUCCAGUUUUUCACAGUGCACUUUUUUCCCCCUUUCCAUUUAUGCUCCAAUAUAGAAGCCAAUAGUUACAGCAUCUUGGCCAAGCAUUCAUUAAGGUUUAUAAGAACAAAAUUUAUGGUUAUUUAGGAGUUGGCACAAAGGCAGACUGUUGCUGGAAAAAGAAAAAGAAAUACAGGUUGCUCUGCAGCAGACCUAUUUAAUUGUGCAUGGAUAUAAGUGAUUCAUCCUAACUAUACAUGCUUAAAGCUCCCCAGGGGAAAGGGGAAUGACCUUCCUGAUAUCUCUCCACCAUUCUUGUAACAGUCCUCUGUUCUGAAAAGACACUCAUUAAAUCUGGAAAAUUGAAGAUGCACAGAAUCUUUUGUGUCAUUUCAUAAAAUGCCAGCUACAACUCUGGAUGCAUGAGCACACAUGUGACCAUCACUUGCAAAUAAUACUGAUUAUUUCUGAGCCUGGGUUAGUCUGUUUAGCAAUCAUAAUAAGACAUUUGCCUUGUUUUGCAGAGUGUCAGAAAGCCACAGCCAUGAUAAAAGGAAACACAGAAAAAGCUAUGGCUCAGUGUGUUGGUCAACUCUGUUUCUGCCCCUUUUUAACCAGUUUGUCUUAUAAGUUUGUCGUUAAAAUUUUCCAUCACACCUAAUAGACUUUUAUCUUGAUCAUCAAUUUUAUAACUUCCAAGUCUUCAUACUUCAUAUUUCCUAUUAAUUGUGAUUGUUCUGUGUUUCUUUUUUUUCUAUUUUUUUAAAAAUUAUCUUUAAGUUCUGGGGUGCAUGUGCAGAACCUGCAGUUUUGUUACAUAGGUAUGCAUGUGCCAUGGUGGUUUGCUGCACCCGCGAAUCCAUCCACUACUUGAGGUAUUUCUCCUAAUGCUAUCCCUCUCCUAGCCCCCCACCCCGACAGGCCCUGGUAUGUGAUGUUCCCCUCCCU